GACGAACGCUGGCGGCGUGCUUAACACAUGCAAGUCGAACGAUGAAGCCGGAGCUUGCUCUGGUGAAUUAGUGGCGAACGGGUGAGUAACACGUGAGUAACCUGCCCUUGACUCUGGGAUAACUGCGGGAAACUGUAGCUAAUACCGGAUACGACCCUCGGAGGCAUCUCCUGGGGGUUGAAAGAAUUUCGGUCAAGGAUGGACUCGCGGCCUAUCAGCUAGUUGGUGAGGUAAAGGCUCACCAAGGCGACGACGGGUAGCCGGCCUGAGAGGGUGAACGGCCACACGGGGACUGAGACACGGCCCAGAGUCCUACGGGAGGCAGCAGUGGGGAAUAUUGCACAAUGGGCGCAAGCCUGAUGCAGCAACGCCGCGUGAGGGAUGACGGCCUUCGGGUUGUAAACCUCUUUUAGCAGGGAAGAAGCGAAAGUGACGGUACCUGCAGAAAAAGCACCGGCUAACUACGUGCCAGCAGCCGCAGUAA
Molecule: ribosomal RNA, 484 nt
Filed under: uncultured bacterium
Lineage: Bacteria
Description: partial 16S ribosomal RNA
Rfam family: Bacterial small subunit ribosomal RNA
Source: RNAcentral